AGCUGUGUGGUGCAGUAGUCAAGUGUUUGGCUGCUAACCAAAAGGCCAGUGGUUCAAAUCCACCAGCAGCUC
RNAcentral lists this transfer RNA (72 nucleotides) under Loxodonta africana (African savanna elephant). It matches the Rfam family "tRNA". Rfam says of the family: Transfer RNA (tRNA) molecules are approximately 80 nucleotides in length. Their secondary structure includes four short double-helical elements and three loops (D, anti-codon, and T loops). Further hydrogen bonds mediate the characteristic L-shaped molecular structure. tRNAs have two regions of fundamental functional importance: the anti-codon, which is responsible for specific mRNA codon recognition, and the 3' end, to which the tRNAs corresponding amino acid is attached (by aminoacyl-tRNA synthetases). tRNAs cope with the degeneracy of the genetic code in two manners: having more than one tRNA (with a specific anti-codon) for a particular amino acid; and 'wobble' base-pairing, i.e. permitting non-standard base-pairing at the 3rd anti-codon position. The record is from Rfam by way of RNAcentral. Lineage: Eukaryota; Metazoa; Chordata; Mammalia; Proboscidea; Elephantidae.